RNAcentral lists this ribosomal RNA (1219 nucleotides) under Ixodes pavlovskyi. RNAcentral's name for it is "16S ribosomal RNA". The stretch from base 822 to 1147 matches the Rfam family "Archaeal large subunit ribosomal RNA", at positions 2151 to 2715 of the family's 2987-position model. Lineage: Eukaryota; Metazoa; Arthropoda; Arachnida; Ixodida; Ixodidae. The record is from RNAcentral.
UUUUUAUUAAAAAAUAAAAAGAUUAAGAUUAAAAAGGUAAAAUUUUAUUUAAAUUUAUGUAUUUUUAUAAUGAAAAAAUUUAUUUUUUAACUGUAAGGGAAAAAUGAAAAAUUUUAAAAGUUUAAAAGUUUAAAAGUACAUAAAGGUACCUUUUGCAUCAGGGUUUUUAGAAGAAAUUAAAUUAAUUUAAUUUCCCGAAAUUAAAAUGAGCUAUUAAAAUAUUUUAAUUAUGUAGAAAUAUAAUAAAAAAUAUUUUAAUAGAAAUGAAAUUUUAUUCAUAUUUAAGGAUAUCUGGUUAUAAUUUUUUGAUUUUAGAUCAAAAUUAUAUUAAAAAAUUUUUAAACAAUUAUAUAAUUUUAUCUACGGGGGAUAAGCUUGGUGGAUUUCUUUAAUAAUUUAGUAAUAUUUUAAUUAAGGAAUAAAAUUUUCUAAUUCUUUUUAAAAAGAAUUAAAUUUAAUGAAGUAUUAAAAUAAGAUUUUUUUAUGAUUAAAUUAAUUAUUAAUUUAAUAAAAUUAUUAAAAAAUUAGUAAAAUGAAAAAUUAUUUAAUAAUUUUUUUAAAAAUUAUUAAUAAAUGAAAAUUUAUUUAAAAGAAUUCGGCAAAUUGAUUUAAUUGACUGUUUAUCAAAAACAUUUCAUUUUGUAAAUUAAUAAAAUGUAUAAUCUGCUCAAUGAUUUUUUUUAAUUGCUGUGGUAUUUUGACUAUACGAAGGUAUUGAAAUAAGAUUUUAAAUGAGUGCUAAGAGAAUGAUUGAACAAUUAUAGACUUUCUUUAAUUAAAUAAUUAAAUUUAAUUUUUUUGUGCAAAAGCAAAAAUUAAAAUUAGGGACAAGAAGACCCUAUGAAUUUUUAUUUAAUUUAAAGUUUUUAUUUUUAAAUUAAAUUUGAUUGGGGUGAUGAAAAAAGAAUAAGUAUCUUUUUAACAAUUAAAAAUUAGUUCCGAUUUUAACGAUUAUAUGAUAAAAAUACUCUAGGGAUAACAGCGUAAUAAUUUUGGAUAGUUCAUAUAGAUAAAAUAGUUUGCGACCUCGAUGUUGGAUUAGGAUUCUUUUUUGGCGAAGAAGUUAAAAAAAGAAGUUUGUUCAACUUUUAAAUUCCUACAUGAUCUGAGUUCAGACCGGCGUGAGCCAGGUUGGUUUCUAUCUUAAUUAAAAAGUAUAUUUUUAUAGUACGAAAGGAAUUAAAAAUAUAAAAUUUUUUAUUUGAAUUUAAAAGUUUUA